Molecule: ribosomal RNA, 484 nt
Filed under: uncultured bacterium
Lineage: Bacteria
Description: partial 16S ribosomal RNA
Rfam family: Bacterial small subunit ribosomal RNA
Source: RNAcentral
AUUGAACGCUGGCGGCAGGCCUAACACAUGCAAGUCGAGCGGAUGAAGGGAGCUUGCUCCUGGAUUCAGCGGCGGACGGGUGAGUAAUGCCUAGGAAUCUGCCUGGCAGUGGGGGAUAACGUCCGGAAACGGGCGCUAAUACCGCAUACGUCCUGCGGGAGAAAGUGGGGGAUCUUCGGACCUCACGCUAUCAGAUGAGCCUAGGUCGGAUUAGCUAGUUGGUGGGGUAAAGGCCUACCAAGGGGACGAUCCGUAACUGGUCUGAGAGGAUGAUCAGUCACACUGGAACUUGACCACGGUCCAGGCUCCUGAGGGACGGAGCAGUGGGGUACAUUGGACAGUAGGCGGAAACCUUGUCCAACCGUGGCGAGUGUGAUGAAGAAGUCCUCCGAUUGGGAAGCACGUUUAGGUGGGGGGAAGGGCAGUAAGUUAAUACCAUGCUUGUUUGACGUUAACAACAAAAUAAGCACCGGCUAACUUCGUG